UACGGAGGAUGCAAGCGUUAUUCGGAAUCAUUGGGUUUAAAGGGUCCGCAGGCGGGUUGUUAAGUCAGGGGUGAAAUCUUACAGCUCAACUGUAAAAUUGCCUUUGAUACUGGCAAUCUUGAAUCAUUAUGAAGUGGUUAGAAUGUGUAGUGUAGCGGUGAAAUGCUUAGAGAUUACAUAGAAUACCGAUUGCGAAGGCAGAUCACUAACAAUGUAUUGACGAUCAGGGACGAAAGCGUGGGGAGCAAACAGG
This 253-nucleotide ribosomal RNA is filed under the name uncultured bacterium. RNAcentral describes it as "partial 16S ribosomal RNA". It matches the Rfam family "Bacterial small subunit ribosomal RNA", at positions 524 to 776 of the family's 1533-position model. The record is from RNAcentral.